UCCCGGCAGUCCAAGUCGCAGCCAACAUUAUUGGGUCUAAAACAUCCGUAGCUUGUUUGUUAAGUUCUUUGUGAAAUCCUAUGUCUCAAGCAUAGGGCUUGCGGAGAAUACUGGCAAGCUAGAGACCGGAAGAUGCAAGGAGUACACCAAAGGUAGUGGUAAAAUACGUUAAUCUUUGGUGGACUAACAAUUGGCGAAGGCACCUUGCAAGUACGGAUCUGACAGUGAGGGAUGAAGGCCAGGGGCGCAAAAU
This 253-nucleotide ribosomal RNA is filed under the name uncultured archaeon. Its description in RNAcentral is "partial 16S ribosomal RNA". It matches the Rfam family "Archaeal small subunit ribosomal RNA", at positions 474 to 725 of the family's 1478-position model. The record is from RNAcentral.